Molecule: ribosomal RNA, 468 nt
Filed under: uncultured bacterium
Lineage: Bacteria
Description: partial 16S ribosomal RNA
Rfam family: Bacterial small subunit ribosomal RNA
Source: RNAcentral
GACGAACGCUGGCGGCGUGCUUAACACAUGCAAGUCGAACGGAAAGGCCCUGCUUUUGUGGGGUGCUCGAGUGGCGAACGGGUGAGUAACACGUGAGUAACCUGCCCUUGACUUUGGGAUAACUUCAGGAAACUGGGGCUAAUACCGGAUAGGAGCUCCUGCUGCAUGGUGGGGGUUGGAAAGUUUCGGCGGUUGGGGAUGGACUCGCGGCUUAUCAGCUUGUUGGUGGGGUAGUUGCUUACCAAGGCUUUGACGGGUAGCCGGCCUGGGAGGGUGACCGGCCACAUUAGGACUGCGGUACGGACCAGACUGCUACGGGCGGCAGCGGGGGGGAAUAUUGCACAGUGGGCGGAAGCCUGAUGCAGCAACGCCGGGUGCGGGAUGACGGCCUUCGGGUUGUAAACCGCUUUCGCCUGUGACGAAGCGUGAGUGACGGUAAUGGGUAAAGAAGCACCGGCUAACUACGUG